This 325-nucleotide long non-coding RNA is filed under the name Physcomitrium patens. RNAcentral describes it as "long non-coding RNA (PPAT_LNC011663)". The record is from RNAcentral. Lineage: Eukaryota; Viridiplantae; Streptophyta; Bryopsida; Funariales; Funariaceae.
AAAAAUCAGAAUAUGCUCAUGAGAGAAUUUUUAGAAAAAUUUAGACCAAAUGUGAGGCAAAGUAAUAUCUUCAAAUCUGUUUCUUUUUUGAGAUAAGAAAAAAAGAAAGAAAUUGUUGAAUACAUUUGGCAAUUUAAACUAGUAGUAUAUUAGUGCAUAGAAAUUCUUUUCAUAAAUGAUACUCUCACUCAUUUUUUAAUCUAAGAAUUCAAUAGUGAGAGAAUAAUUAGAAAUAUCUUUGAAAAAAGAUAUUUUUAGUUAUUAUUAAGUUAUUAUAUAAUACAAUCAUGUGUAGAAGUGAUUCUAAGUAAUUUUAAUAUAAAAA